UCAACCCUCAAGCCUGGCUUGUUGUUGGACCCGGGACCCUUUUCAGGGUUCACCGGUCUCAAAGACAAUGACGGCGUCCGUGAGACCCUCGGUACAAUGAGCUUUCUGAGCACGUACCGCAGUGGGCUGGCGGACCCGGUCCUCCUUUUUUAAUUUCUAA
RNAcentral lists this unclassified non-coding RNA (160 nucleotides) under uncultured Herpotrichiellaceae. RNAcentral's name for it is "sequence contains ITS2". Lineage: Eukaryota; Fungi; Ascomycota; Eurotiomycetes; Chaetothyriales; Herpotrichiellaceae. The record is from RNAcentral.